UGGUUCGCGCCUCGUGCUUCUUGAUGAAAGUAUUCUUUUCUUUUCGGACAUCAUGACGCACAUUUUAGUGCAAUGCUUUAACGACGAUACGUGGGACGUUUAUCCGUUGAAGUGGUUGGCUCACCCAGCUACUAGUCUUCUACUGAUGUGCGAGCCUGGUUGUUUUGAUGAGUUGGGCGGCAGAGGUCUUGAUGCCUGUUGGAGAGAAGGCACCCCGAAACAGUCGCAGCCUCACUUCUGAAGAUAGGUCACGCAUGCAGCAAAUUCCCAGGUGCUAAAGUGUUCUACGCCAAAAGCACCUUGGCGUCGUGCAAGAGACACCCGUUGAUAUGUGGCUGAUUCACUAGCAAGCUCUCAUCUCUGUUGUUUUAAUCGCAGUGAAAGACGUGAUAAAGCUUGUAUAUGUUUACGUGAAGUCAUUUGUUUCAAGUUAUUUUGCCUUCUCACAGUCAGCUGUAGCUCUUCCUGUGAUGUGUUAGUGCACGAAACAUUUUAAUGUAACAUAUUCAGAUGUAUUUUGUGUAUUCACACGCUAGCAGCUUCAAAUGUUCAUGUGUUCAAAGUUGGUUGUUACAAGGGUAUGCUUAAGCCCUGCCUUUUGAGUCGCUUUGCCUUCUAGUCAUAAACUUAAUUCGAAAGUGAAGACCACAAUGAUCGCCUUGAUUAAAUUCAUAUGUAUAGGUUUUUUUCAGGUGUAUUUACACUGCUAGAGCGCUGUAGGUACUAGCCUAUGUCUCCAGGUUCGAUGUAGUGGUGCCUUAUGUACUGUAAUAAUGUUUCACGUGCACGCAUCUUUAGUGUAAAUAAAGGUACUUCAAGUU
This is a long non-coding RNA of Dermacentor andersoni, 821 nucleotides long. RefSeq lists it as uncharacterized. The record is from RefSeq and is a predicted model, not a curated record. Lineage: Eukaryota; Metazoa; Arthropoda; Arachnida; Ixodida; Ixodidae.